GUCAGCAGCUGUAUCACCCUGCACCCUCACAGCUGGCAGCCCACUGAAGCUCAGCAGGUGUGAGCCUGGUCAGUACCUCGAUGGGAGACCUCCUGGGAAAAACUAUGGUUGCUGCUGGAA
This 120-nucleotide ribosomal RNA is filed under the name Lepisosteus oculatus (spotted gar). The record is from RNAcentral. Lineage: Eukaryota; Metazoa; Chordata; Actinopteri; Semionotiformes; Lepisosteidae.